This 450-nucleotide ribosomal RNA is filed under the name uncultured bacterium. RNAcentral describes it as "partial 16S ribosomal RNA". It matches the Rfam family "Bacterial small subunit ribosomal RNA", at positions 354 to 796 of the family's 1533-position model. The record is from RNAcentral.
GUGGGGAAUAUUCCGCAAUGGACGAAAGUCUGACGGAGCAACGCCGCGUGAGUGAUGAAGGUUUUCGGACUGUAAAGCUCUGUUGUUUAGGACGAAAGUGCCUGUUGCGAAUAGUUACAGGUAUUGACGGUACUGAACGAGGAAGCCACGGCUAACUACGUGCCAGCAGCCGCGGUAAUACGUAGGUGGCAAGCGUUGUCCGGAAUUAUUGGGCGUAAAGAGCAUGUAGGCGGGAAUCUAAGUCUGUUGUGAAAAUGCGGGGCUCAACCCCGUAUUGCGAUGGAAACUGGGUUUCUUGAGUGCAGGAGAGGAAAGGGGAAUUCCCAGUGUAGCGGUGAAAUGCGUAGAUAUUGGGAGGAACACCAGUGGCGAAGGCGCCUUUCUGGACUGUGUCUGACGCUGAGGCGCGAAAGCUAGGGGAGCGAACGGGAUUAGAUAUCCCGGUAGUCC